This 253-nucleotide ribosomal RNA is filed under the name uncultured bacterium. Its description in RNAcentral is "partial 16S ribosomal RNA". It matches the Rfam family "Bacterial small subunit ribosomal RNA", at positions 524 to 776 of the family's 1533-position model. The record is from RNAcentral.
UACGUAGGAGACGAGCGUUGUCCGGAAUUACUGGGCGUAAAGGGCGUGUAGGCGGAUGAGCAAGUCUGCUGUGAAAGCUCCUGGCUUAACCGGGAGUGGUCGGUGGAAACUGCUCGUCUGGAGGACGGUAGAGGUAGGUAGAAUUCCCGGUGUAGUGGUGAAAUGCGUAGAGAUCGGGAGGAAUACCGGUGGCGAAGGCGGCCUACUGGGCCGGACCUGACGCUGAGACGCGAAGGCGUGGGGAGCGAACGGG